RNAcentral lists this ribosomal RNA (397 nucleotides) under uncultured bacterium. Its description in RNAcentral is "bacterial SSU rRNA". It matches the Rfam family "Bacterial small subunit ribosomal RNA", at positions 975 to 1375 of the family's 1533-position model. The record is from RNAcentral.
CUGGGUUUGACAUACACCGGAAAGCUGCAGAGAUGUAGCCCCUUUUAGUCGGUGUACAGGUGGUGCAUGGCUGUCGUCAGCUCGUGUCGUGAGAUGUUGGGUUAAGUCCCGCAACGAGCGCAACCCUCGUCCUAUGUUGCCAGCAAUUCGGUUGGGGACUCAUAGGAGACUGCCGGGGUCAACUCGGAGGAAGGUGGGGAUGACGUCAAGUCAUCAUGCCCCUUAUGUCCAGGGCUUCACGCAUGCUACAAUGGCCGGUACAAAGGGCUGCGAUCCCGCGAGGGUGAGCGAAUCCCAAAAAGCCGGUCUCAGUUCGGAUUGGGGUCUGCAACUCGACCCCAUAAAGUCAGAGUCGCUAGUAAUCGCAGAUCAGCAACGCUGCGGUGAAUACGUUCCC